Molecule: ribosomal RNA, 506 nt
Filed under: uncultured bacterium
Lineage: Bacteria
Description: partial 16S ribosomal RNA
Rfam family: Bacterial small subunit ribosomal RNA
Source: RNAcentral
AGUGAACGCUGGCGGUAGGCCUAACACAUGCAAGUCGAACGGCAGCACAGGAGAGCUUGCCCUCUGGGUGGCGAGUGGCGGACGGGUGAGGAAUACAUCGGAAUUUACUCUGUCGUGGGGGAUAACGUAGGGAAACUUACGCUAAUACCGCAUACGACCUACGGGUGAAAGCAGGGGACCUUCGGGCCUUGCGCGAUUGAAUGAGCCGAUGUCGGAUUAGCUAGUUGGCGGGGUAAAGGCCCACCAAAGCGACGAGCCGUAGCUGGUCUGAGAGGAUGAUCAGCCACACUGGAACUGAGACACGGGCCAGACUCCGACGGGAGGCAGGAGUGGGGAAUAUUGGACAAUGGGCGCAAGCCUGAUCCAGCCAUACCGCGUGGGUGAAGAAGGCCUUCGGGUUGUAAAGCCCUUUUGUUGGGAAAGAAAUCCAGCUGGCUAAUACCCGGUUGGGAUGACGGUACCCAAAGAAUAAGCACCGGCUAACUUCGUGCCAGCCGCCGCCGUAA